This 549-nucleotide ribosomal RNA is filed under the name uncultured bacterium. RNAcentral's name for it is "bacterial SSU rRNA". It matches the Rfam family "Bacterial small subunit ribosomal RNA", at positions 356 to 896 of the family's 1533-position model. The record is from RNAcentral.
GGGGAAUAUUGGACAAUGGGCGCAAGCCUGAUCCAGCCAUGCCGCGUGUGUGAAGAAGGCCUUUCGGUUGUAAAGCACUUUAAGCGAGGAGGAGGCUACUUGGAUUAAUACUCUAGGAUAGUGGACGUUACUCGCAGAAUAAGCACCGGCUAACUCUGUGCCAGCAGCCGCGGUAAUACAGAGGGUGCGAGCGUUAAUCGGAUUUACUGGGCGUAAAGCGUGCGUAGGCGGCUUUUUAAGUCGGAUGUGAAAUCCCUGAGCUUAACUUAGGAAUUGCAUUCGAUACUGGGAAGCUAGAGUAUGGGAGAGGAUGGUAGAAUUCCAGGUGUAGCGGUGAAAUGCGUAGAGAUCUGGAGGAAUACCGAUGGCGAAGGCAGCCAUCUGGCCUAAUACUGACGCUGAGGUACGAAAGCAUGGGGAGCAAACAGGAUUAGAUACCCUGGUAGUCCAUGCCGUAAACGAUGUCUACUAGCCGUUGGGGCCUUUGAGGCUUUAGUGGCGCAGCUAACGCGAUAAGUAGACCGCCUGGGGAGUACGGUCGCAAGACUA